Molecule: ribosomal RNA, 492 nt
Filed under: uncultured bacterium
Lineage: Bacteria
Description: partial 16S ribosomal RNA
Rfam family: Bacterial small subunit ribosomal RNA
Source: RNAcentral
AGUGAACGCUGGCGGUAGGCCUAACACAUGCAAGUCGAACGGCAGCACAGUAAGAGCUUGCUCUUACGGGUGGCGAGUGGCGGACGGGUGAGGAAUACAUCGGAAUCUACUUUUUCGUGGGGGAUAACGUAGGGAAACUUACGCUAAUACCGCAUACGACCUACGGGUGAAAGCAGGGGAUAUUCGGACCUUGCGCGAUUGAAUGAGCCGAUGUCGGAUUAGCUAGUUGGCGGGGUAAAGGCCCACCAAGGCAACGAUCCGUAGCUGGUCUGAGAGGAUGAUCAGCCACACUGGAACUGAGACACGGUCCAGACUCCUACGGGAGGCAGCAGUGGGGAAUAUUGGACAAUGGGCGCAAGCCUGAUCCAGCCAUACCGCGUGGGUGAAGAAGGCCUUCGGGUUGUAAAGCCCUUUUGUUGGGAAAGAAAAGCAGCAGGUUAAUACCCCGCUGUUCUGACGGUACCCAAAGAAUAAGCACCGGCUAACUUCGUG